RNAcentral lists this ribosomal RNA (278 nucleotides) under uncultured Akkermansia sp. RNAcentral's name for it is "partial 16S ribosomal RNA". It matches the Rfam family "Bacterial small subunit ribosomal RNA", at positions 511 to 788 of the family's 1533-position model. Lineage: Bacteria; Pseudomonadati; Verrucomicrobiota; Verrucomicrobiia; Verrucomicrobiales; Akkermansiaceae. The record is from RNAcentral.
GCAGCCGCGGUAAUACGGGGGAUGCGAGCGUUAUCCGGAUUUAUUGGGUUUAAAGGGUGCGUAGGCGGCCUGUUAAGUCAGCGGUGAAAUUCAGGGGCUCAACCUCUGCCGUGCCGUUGAUACUGGCAAGCUGGAAUGCGGAUGCCGUGGGAGGAAUGUGUGGUGUAGCGGUGAAAUGCAUAGAUAUCACACAGAACACCGAUUGCGAAGGCAUCUCACGAAUCCGCAAUUGACGCUGAUGCACGAAAGCGUGGGGAUCAAACAGGAUUAGAUACCCC